GUAAAUGUAGCAGCAUUUUCUGUAGUGUAGUGGUUAUCACGUUUGUUCACACGCGAAAGGUCACUGGUUCGAAACCAGGCGGAAACAACGCUCAUCGACACAUUCAAGAAGUACCAUAGUGUUAACAAAGAAUUUCAUUAAUCCCUUAUUUUGGAAAUUCGAAUACGUGCCAUGAAUAUUUUUAAAAUUCGGUUUACUCCUUGCAGCUAAUUGUAGCAGUAGUUUCUGUGGUGUAGUGGUUAUCACGUUCGCUUCACACGCGAAAUGUCCCUGGUUCGAAACUGGGCGGAAACAACGCUCAUUGACACAUUCUGUAGUACCAUAGUGGUAACAGAAAAUUUCAUGAAUUCUUUAUUUUGGAAAUUCCAAUACGUGCCAUGAAUAUUUUUAAAAUUCGGUUUACUCCUUGCAGAAAAAUCAAGCAGCAGUUUCUGUAGUGUAGUGGUUAUCACGUUAGCUUUACACGUGAAAGGUCCUCAGUUUGAAACCGGGAGGAAACACUGCUCUUUGACAUGUGCAGUAGGUACUGUACUAUUAACAGACAAUAGUUAUUUUCAUAAAUUCCUAAUUUUGGAAAUUUGAACACGUGCCAUGAAUAUCUGUAAAAUUCGGUUUACUCCUUGCAGAUAAUUGUUGAAGAAGAUUCUGUAGUGUAGUGGUUAUCACGUUUGCUUAAUACGCGAAAGGUCCUCGGUUCGAACCCGGGCGGAAACAGAGCUCUUUGACACGUGCAGUAGGUACUGUACUUUCAACAAAGAGUUGUUAUUUUCAUAAAUUCUGCAUUUUGGAAAUUCGAAUACGUGCCCUGAAUAUCUGUAAAAUUCGGUUUACUUCUAGCAGGAAAAUCAAGCAGCAGUUUCUGUAGUGUAGUGGUUAUCACGUUCGCUUUACACGCGAAAGGUCCUCGGUUCGAAACCGGGCGGAAACAGUGCUCUUUGACACGUACAGUACUUUUAAAAGAGAAUAGUUAUUUUCAUAAAUGCCUAAAUUUGGAAAUUUCAACACGUGCCAUGAAUAUCUGUAAAAUUCGGUUUACUCCUUGCAGAUAAUUGUUGAAGCAGUUUCUGUAGUGUAGCGGUUAUCACGUUCGCUUAACACGCGAAAGGUCCUCAGUUUGAAACCGGGCGGAAACACUGCUCUUUGACAUGUGCAGUAGGUACUGUACUAUUAACAGAGAAUAGUUAUUUUCAUAAAUGCCUAAUUUUGGAAAUUUGAACACGUGCCAUGAAUAUCUGUAAAAUUCGGUUUACUCCUUGCAGAUAAUUGUUGAAGCAGUUUCUGUAGUGUAGCGGUUAUCACGUUCGCUUAACACGCGAAAGGUCCUCGGUUCGAAACCGGGCGGAAACAGAGCUCUUUGACACGUGCAGUAGGUACUGUACUUUCAACAAAGAAUUGUUAUUUUCAUGAAUUCUGUAUUUUGGAAAUUCGAAUACGUGCCAUGAAUAUCUGUAAAAUUCGGUUUACUCCUCGCAGCUAAUUGUAGCAGUAGUUUCUGUGGUGUAGUGGUUAUCACGUUCGCUUCACACGCCCCUUUUUGGAGUUUCAGGAAGUGGAAGAGAAGCAGGCGUCUGAGUGCUUGAGAGAGAAUAUCGUUUUUU
RNAcentral lists this transfer RNA (1598 nucleotides) under Salmo salar (Atlantic salmon). Its description in RNAcentral is "lncRNA (ENSSSAG00000091383.1)". The stretch from base 856 to 928 matches the Rfam family "tRNA". The record is from RNAcentral. Lineage: Eukaryota; Metazoa; Chordata; Actinopteri; Salmoniformes; Salmonidae.